UACGAGGGGUCCUAGCGUUGUUCGGAAUCAUUGGGCGUAAAGAGUCUGUAGGCGGUUUUGUAAGUCAGGUGUGAAAGCCCCGGGCUCAACCCGGGAAGUGCAUUUGAUACUGCUUAACUUGAAUGUUGGAGAGGAUAGUGGAAUUCCUGGUGUAGUGGUGAAAUACGUAGAUAUCAGGAGGAACACCGGUGGCGAAGGCGGCUAUCUGGCCAAACAUUGACGCUGAGAGACGAAAGCGUGGGGAUCAAAC
RNAcentral lists this ribosomal RNA (250 nucleotides) under uncultured bacterium. RNAcentral describes it as "partial 16S ribosomal RNA". It matches the Rfam family "Bacterial small subunit ribosomal RNA", at positions 524 to 773 of the family's 1533-position model. The record is from RNAcentral.